UAACACUAACUGGAGGACCGAACCGACUAAUGUUGAAAAAUUAGCGGAUGACUUGUGGCUGGGGGUGAAAGGCCAAUCAAACCGGGAGAUAGCUGGUUCUCCCCGAAAGCUAUUUAGGUAGCGCCUCGUGAAUUCAUCUCCGGGGGUAGAGCACUGUUUCGGCAAGGGGGUCAUCCCGACUUACCAACCCGAUGCAAACUGCGAAUACCGGAGAAUGUUAUCACGGGAGACACACGGCGGGUGCUAACGUCCGUCGUGAAGAGGGAAACAACCCAGACCGCCAGCUAAGGUCCCAAAGUCAUGGUUAAGUGGGAAACGAUGUGGGAAGGCCCAGACAGCCAGGAUGUUGGCUUAGAAGCAGCCAUCAUUUAAAGAAAGCGUAAUAGCUCACUGGUCGAGUCGGCCUGCGCGGAAGAUGUAACGGGGCUAAACCAUGCACCGAAGCUGCGGCAGCGACGCUUAUGCGUUGUUGGGUAGGGGAGCGUUCUGUAAGCCUGUGAAGGUGGCCUGUGAGGGUUGCUGGAGGUAUCAGAAGUGCGAAUGCUGACAUAAGUAACGAUAAAGCGGGUGAAAAGCCCGCUCGCCGGAAGACCAAGGGUUCCUGUCCAACGUUAAUCGGGGCAGGGUGAGUCGACCCCUAAGGCGAGGCCGAAAGGCGUAGUCGAUGGGAAACAGGUUAAUAUUCCUGUACUUGGUGUUACUGCGAAGGGGGGACGGAGAAGGCUAUGUUGGCCGGGCGACGGUUGUCCCGGUU
RNAcentral lists this ribosomal RNA (754 nucleotides) under Escherichia coli. Its description in RNAcentral is "partial 23S ribosomal RNA". It matches the Rfam family "Bacterial large subunit ribosomal RNA", at positions 757 to 1512 of the family's 2925-position model. The record is from RNAcentral. Lineage: Bacteria; Pseudomonadati; Pseudomonadota; Gammaproteobacteria; Enterobacterales; Enterobacteriaceae.